Molecule: long non-coding RNA, 1229 nt
Organism: Bombus terrestris (buff-tailed bumblebee)
Lineage: Eukaryota; Metazoa; Arthropoda; Insecta; Hymenoptera; Apidae
Exons: 2
Source: RefSeq, a predicted model, not a curated record
UUGUCCCAAUUAAACAAGUCAUCGAAUCAAAGUAAACCAUAUAUCUCGAAGCAAAUACAUAACAGUGUCUAUUAACACCGUGAACCAUUUUUGAAUGGGCGAAUCAAUUCGCUUAAAACUAGACGCGUUUAAAAGAGUAAACAGAAAAACAUGUAAAGCAUAGGCCAAUAAAAAAUGUCGCGUCAAAUUCCAUCACUUCAGAGUAUUGCUCAAAAUUUCUAGUUAGACGUUUCGACUCACCUCAUGUUGACCGUGCCACUGAUAGAGAAGUUCCUGUUGGUUAUGCUAACAGCGAAAUGCGAAUUGCUUUUCUCGGUGCAGGAGUUUUUAAAGGCCAAGCAGAUUCUGCUAAUCAAACGCAAUUUACAACGGAAAGGCAUUUUUCUUAUCGAUAAAAAUCCUUAUCGGCUUGAUAAAAACACAAUGUUGUGAAUUUAUCCUAGACGUGGAAAGAACGAGGAUAUCACCAGAGAACAAAAAACUUACCACGAAAGGCGAACUACAACUGAACACAUUGCACCACUCUAGCGUUGUCGAGUUAUAGCAGGGGAAACCACGUGAUCCCGAUAAAAUGUGAUUCACCUUCAAAAGUAACCAACGAUCGAUUUGAUUCUGAUUUUGAUUCAAUAGGCCACGAAUUAUUAACGUGUUCAUUGUACAUAAGUUUAUGUAUAUAUGUCCUGUCCUAAGAGUUAUAAUAUAGUACCAUAAUACAACUUUUAUUUGAGUAACAAUGUUACUCAAUUAUUUACGUUAUUAAAAAUUAUUUAAUCAAUGAUAUUCAUUUUAUUUUAACUACUCUAAAAUAUUUAAUGCUGAUCGCCAGUGACCAUCAGGAUGUCAUGAUAAGCACGGUCCAGUGACCGUGCUUUAUAACUAUUAUGAUAAUCAACCUGUUAAGAUUUUAACCAUUACUUACUUAAAUUAUGCUUCUUCAAACUUUUAUAAUCGAGGUUUAUUCAGCUUACGUAAUAUCACUUGAGAUUAAAUGAUUACAUUACAUAAUUGGAAUAAUUCUUAAAUUUCUAUUAAUUUCUUAAAUGAUUAAAUUUUUCAAGGAAAUUACAUACAUGGGAACAGAUUUUUUAUUUCCAAAUAUAGGUCUUUUCAACAAAGUUUAUACAAGCUGUAUUACCUAGAAUGGUCUUGGUUUGGUUCUUGUAAAAGGAAACUCUUCGCGGUUGUGAUAUGGAUUAUAAGGAUCAUCCACAUAAUAGUGCGGUCUUUUC